GAUGAACGCUGGCGGCGUGCCUAAUACAUGCAAGUCGAGCGAACAGAUGAGGAGCUUGCUCCUCUGACGUUAGCGGCGGACGGGUGAGUAACACGUGGAUAACCUACCUAUAAGACUGGGAUAACUUCGGGAAACCGGAGCUAAUACCGGAUAAUAUAUCGAACCGCAUGGUUCAAUAGUGAAAGACGGUUUUGCUGUCACUUAUAGAUGGAUCCGCGCCGCAUUAGCUAGUUGGUAAGGUAACGGCUUACCAAGGCAACGAUGCGUAGCCGACCUGAGAGCGUGAUCGACCACACUAGAACUGAGACACGGUCCAGACUCCUACGGGAGGCAGCAGUAGGGAAUCUUCCGCAAUGGGCGAAAGCCUGACGGAGCAACGCCGCGUGAGUGAUGAAGGUCUUCGGAUCGUAAAACUCUGUUAUUAGGGAAGAACAAAUGUGUAAGUAACUAUGCACGUCUUGACGGUACCUAAUCAGAAAGCCACGGCUAACUACGUG
This 497-nucleotide ribosomal RNA is filed under the name uncultured bacterium. Its description in RNAcentral is "partial 16S ribosomal RNA". It matches the Rfam family "Bacterial small subunit ribosomal RNA", at positions 28 to 507 of the family's 1533-position model. The record is from RNAcentral.